AACAGGAUUAGAUACCCUGGUAGUCACGCCCUAAACGAUGUCUACUAGUUGUUGGUGGAGUAAAAUCCAUGAGUAACGCAGCUAACGCGUGAAGUAGACCGCCUGGGGAGUACGGUCGCAAGAUUAAAACUCAAAUGAAUUGACGGGGGCCCGCACAAGCGGUGGAUUAUGUGGAUUAAUUCGAUGCAACGCGAAAAACCUUACCUGGCCUUGACAUGUAACGAACUUUCCAGAGAUGGAUUGGUGCUCGAAAGAGAACGUUAACACAGGUGCUGCAUGGCUGUCGUCAGCUCGUGUCGUGAGAUGUUGGGUUAAGUCCCGCAACGAGCGCAACCCUUGCCAAUAAUGGCCAUCAUUUAGUUGGGCACUUUAUUGGGACUGCCGAUGACAAAUCGGAGGAAGGUGGGGAUGACGUCAAGUCCUCAUGGCCCUUAUGGCCAGGGCUUCACACGUAAUACAAUGGUCGGUACAGAGGGUUGCCAAGCCGCAAGGUGGAGCCAAUCCCAGAAAGCCGAUCGUAGUCCGGAUUGAGGUCUGCAACUCGACCUCAUGAAGUCGGAAUCGCUAGUAAUCGCGGAUCAGCAUGUCGCGGUGAAUACGUUCCCGGGCCUUGUACACACCGCCCGUCACACCAUGGGAGUGGGUUUUACCAGAAGUAGGUAGUCUAACCGCAAGGAGGACGCUUACCACGGUAGUAUUCAUGACUGGGGUGAAGUCGUAACAAGGUAACC
This 731-nucleotide ribosomal RNA is filed under the name uncultured bacterium. RNAcentral's name for it is "bacterial SSU rRNA". It matches the Rfam family "Bacterial small subunit ribosomal RNA", at positions 771 to 1501 of the family's 1533-position model. The record is from RNAcentral.